GCGAGCGCGCAUAGCGAUUGUGUCGCCUCACUUGGCCGUCGCCGCCGAUUCAGUGGCUCUGUAUCGAACAGUUUGCCAGCGAUUGUCGUGUGAAAAAGACGUGCUAACGGGAAAAAUCGGUAACGGUAUAACGUCGAACGUUUUACGCUCGGUCGCGUCGUGCAGUUUUCCUCUGGAUUUUUUUCCAGCUCCGCAAUUAAAUGGACAAGAAAAGUGAAAAACGCAAUGGAUUUCGUGAUAGAUUGUUUUAGUGUCGAAUGAAAAUCGAUGGCGUUCGUUUUGAUGAGAAUUUAAAAGUGCGUAGAAAAUUCCAAGAGAAAGAUUUUCAAAUGAAACGAGGAUACAGUUGAAUUAAGUACAGCCAAAAACACAAGAAAAAAAGAAAAAUAAAAAACGAUUGAAAACUGUCUAAAAUGUCUGUAAAAAAAAUAGUGGCAGCGUUAAACGAGAGCAAAUCCAACAGUGUAGGACGCAAUAAUAAAUAAAAAAAUUCUUCGAAAAAACUCAAAGAAAAAGUAUUAGUGAAAUUUAAUUUUUAAACUUAAAUUCAAAACUCGCGAAAACCUACAUAAUUCGAAAAUUAAAAAUAUUAACAAAAUAAAAGCCAGCCAUACGAAAGACAAAUAAAUAUGCGCAUACCACAUAGCAACCACACAGCGCCAACUACGCCCUACGCUAUGCAAGCAAAGCGCUACGAUCAGCAAUUUAACUAUUUGCCGAACACAGUCUGUUUGCAUUAAAUAUUUGCUUCAAAUGUGCAACUGAGUGUAUGUAUGCAUUUCCGGUCAAUGCACUGUUUAGUAAUAAAUAACCUCAUACAACAGACCAAUCUGCGCCAACUUAAUAAGUUAACUGAUACUAUCGAGCUGAGGAAAGUAAUUUUAUGAGCAAAUGUGGGAGUAAGCUUUUAUUGAAAAUUAAAAGCAAAAAGCUAAAUGCAAAUAAAUUCCAUUGUAUAUUGUGCAGAAUACAUUCUACAGCAAGUGGAAAAUAAUAACAUUGAAUAAGCAGUUAUACAAACAAAAUAAGAAAAAAAAACAGCAAAGUAGGUCACUGUGGGAAGAGUAAGUAAAACAAAAGUGAAUUAACGGCAGCAAAAAGUGAAAAGGGAAAAAAUUCAGUAUUAAAAACUACUUCUAUAGGCGGUGUAAGCUAAUAAAUACCGUUACAAAUAAAAAUUACUGUAACAAAGAAAAUUGCUUAUUAAAAAAAAUAAAUCGGCAUUGAAUGUGAGUGCCAUAAGGCUUACAAAAAAAGAGGAAACAAAGAACAAAAAAAACUAUAUUAAUUAAAAUUAUAACCGAGUAACACAAAAAAGAAUCCCCACAGCAAAUACGUUCAAUGCAAAUAUCCUGGGAACAGCAGUAAUCCCCUCCAAUAACCCGUACUUUCGCCGCAGCAGAAAAAUAAAAUAAAUAAGCUCAACUAGCCACCACUAAAACUCCCAUCAAUUACGCUCUACACUCCAAACACUCGCUCGCAUUCACACUGCUGCAGCACCUCCUUCAUCUACACAGCACUUAAGCAUCGCUCAGCCCGCCGCACCUUCCGAACUUCAAGCCAAUAUGCCGCCUACUCAACUCAUCGUCAAGAGUGCACUCAAAACUACUAUCCACUGAACGCAGACAUAAAAGGGCGGCACAUCUCCGCAAGCAUCAUACGGCAAGCGUUCUAGCUGCAGCAGUCAUUUAUUACCAGACAUAGAAAAAGCAAAGACAAAAAAAAAUAAAUAAAAAAUAAAAUCGUUGCAUACUUUUCUGCUUAUACUCUGUAUUUACUCGUCUCAUAUCCUGCCUUCCUCUCGGGACUCUUGACACUCUUUGGGCGCUGCGCGUGGAGUGGAAUAAAGAAUUAAAGAAGCAACACACACAAGGAUAAUUUCAAAAAGGUA
This 1891-nucleotide long non-coding RNA is filed under the name Rhagoletis pomonella (apple maggot). Its description in RNAcentral is "uncharacterized LOC118744566". The record is from RNAcentral. Lineage: Eukaryota; Metazoa; Arthropoda; Insecta; Diptera; Tephritidae.